UGACAAUGGUCUGUUUCUCACUGUCUUUCUGUAUGUUGACCAGAUGCAGUCUCAGGAGUAUCCAACAUCUUUUCAUUCUGGGGCUCAGAGAGUCGAGAGAAGCAGAGAUAUAAGGAGGUGCCCUGCUCCCACAGCCUCCUUGACCCUCUUCCUCAGUCUGCCUCCCAGCAGCUCCCAGAAGUUCCCUUGGCUUCCCACUGUCCCUCUAGCCCUCCUAAUCUCCAUCCUCCUCCACCUGUUUUGUCUUGGAGGCAGAAGGAUGCAUUAGAGAAAAGGCUGGAGGUACUGCAGGGACAUAUUACCAGGCUGGAGUCUCGAAUAUCAGCAGACAUCGGUAUCAUCAUGCAGCUACUGCAAAGGCAGAUACCAAUGAUCCCACCUUCCUACAGCACCCUGACAUCCACACCUAACACACCCUCCACCCUCAUCAUGUGUCCCACUGCUGCCUCUCUCACAGACAAGUCCUCAUCCAAAAACCCCCAGCAGCAACUGUCUGAUGAAGUCCUUCAACAACUUCCAGAAUAUGAAUCCCUCCAUUGUGAUUCCACUGUCCUCCAUUUUACAAGCACAACCCUCUCAUCAAUGCCUCACUGAAUACUUCUUGAUAUCAGUCACUGAUUUCUUCAUCCAACUUACCCCAGUGCACCUCCACCUUUCCAACCUUGCCUCAAUUGUCGAAACAGUCUUCCUCCUUUGUCCCUCCUCAUACAGAAAAUCCUAGUGUGUCAUCCUUUCAUGCAUCGUCCCUACCCUCACACCUCACCCCCCUAAUUCUCCAGCUCCCAGAGCAGAUUAAACAACUGACCCUUUCCUCCAGGAAACAGGGAUUACUCUCCGCCUUACAGGUAAUGUAACACUUUUAGCAGCAUAACAAAUGACACGUUUGAGCUACACUUCUUGAGAAUGCGCCAUUGUUGUUUGCGAAAUGGACGUUUGCUUCUCGUGCUGGCUGUCACACCUAAUAGGGGGGCGAUACCCCCAAUUUGGUUUCGAUCUGAUACAAAGUACCUUGAGGCUAAUAUCCCCGAUAUGAUAC
Molecule: long non-coding RNA, 1036 nt
Filed under: Sparus aurata (gilthead seabream)
Lineage: Eukaryota; Metazoa; Chordata; Actinopteri; Spariformes; Sparidae
Description: lncRNA (ENSSAUG00010005559.1)
Source: RNAcentral